UGCCACUGAAGAGUUUGGACUUGAUUCUGUUGUCAGGUUGUUUGUUUAAGCAGUUGAGAGUAAAGACACCCACAUUGGACAUUAGGGAGGUGCUGCUGCAGGACCAUGUGAGAUGGAUCAUAGGUGGGUGAGCCAAGUGAGAAAAUGUAAGUGCUGAUACUGUAUUACAUCAUCAGUGAUGGUGCAUCCCUGAAUCAGGAAAAUGAAAUAGAUGAGGAAGAAUGGGCUGGAGAAACAGCACAGAAAAGAAUCUAUACGACCUCAAGGCUAGGUAUGGAGGCUAAGAGAGAAGGAGAGGAAGGAAGAGGACAGGAGACAGGAAAGAACACUGGUGAGAACACAGAGAAAGGAGACACAAUGGCCCCCCAGCUCUCAAUAAUAAAGAUCACAGCAGAUUUCUUCCCACUGUGUUUGUGAUACUGUCAGGAUACCCAGAGAGAUAGGCCGGAAGUAAGGUCUAGAACUUAGAACAGGUCAACUCUACUACAAUGACUUUGGAAAUGAGCCAGGUAUAAGAGGUAGUUGACAUGACAGGGAGAAGAUUAGACAAGAAAAUAAGCCCUCAAGAACUAUAGCAUUUAGGGGACAAAAAGAAUCCUUUCCCCAAAAGAUGGGAGUCAGCAGUGAAGACACUGGGAGAGCAUAAGAGACCAAGGGAGAAGCAGACCUUGUAAGUCACAUGUUGUGUCCAUUUUCAAGAUGGUAUCCAGAUUUGGCAAUCUGACCAUUGGCAACAGCCUUUUGGAAUAAGAGGAGAUUAAAAACAGUUGCAAUGGCUUUAAGAAUAAGGAUGAAGUGAGUAGAUAAAAGACUUUCAUAGAACAACCGUUCAAAUAUAUUUUAAAGAAUUUCCACUUUCAGCAAUGAGAAGACAAGGUGGUGCAGAAUUAACUUUAAACUCAGAUAACUAGAAAACCAGAAAAAAUAUAGGAAACAACUAUUUUCAGAAGUUGGGGACCAGAGAGGGAGACAAAUGAGGCGAGCUCUCCCAUCUCCUAGGCUUUCUGUCUGGCAGCAGCUCACACACCACGGUGCAAGGAAAGGAAGCCCAACACUGCAGGCACGAGGGGCUUCUGAAUUGGAGGGUGCUAAGGUGGGUGGCAUUUGGAGUCAGAUGGCCUGAAAGGAGGCAGCUACACAGAGAAAGAGCUCCAGAAAUCUACACGCAUCUUCUUGAGUUCUUGAAAACUAACUUGUGUGUAAGGAAAACACCACAAGCCCAGACAAGAUCGUCUGUGAAAAUAAUAAUCACCAAGCAGCAUUUGAUGAACAAUUGUGGCCAUGCCUGCAGAGCACAACUGGAGGGAGAAUUUGCUGAGUACACAAGCUGAACACACUGGAUAUUUAGUCAAAACGAGCCUCACCAUGGAACUGAGGCCACCUCCGGCCUUAAAAUGAAAUCUACUCUGAAGCCAGACUAAAAGAGACAAAAAACAAGCUAAAGACAAGAAACAAUCAGUAUGUAACUUAACUGUGUGACAGGAAAGAUUCGACAAUCAAAUUACAGAAUAGAAAUUCAGCCCUCAGGACAGAAAAUUCACAAUGUCUGUCAUUCAACCAAAAAAUUAUUAACCACAAGAAUGAUGAAAAUGUGAUCCACAACCAGAAGAAAAAUUAGUUGAUGGAUAAUUGAUUGGGGAAGUAUGGUGAAGGAUAGCAGGAUAGCUCAGUGGUAGAGUGCAUGCUUAGUAUGCCUGUAGCCCUCUAUUUGAUCCCUAAUUUUAACAAAAAAAGGAAGGGAGAGAGGGAUCAAUGAUUAUGCAAAUAGAUGAAAAAGAACUUUUAAAACUAUACUUCAGACACACUGUGUAUGCCAAAGGGUGUGUUAGGGUUUGGGGCCUCCAAAACUGGAGUGUAGGCCUCACUGUGAUAUAAACAAGGUGGAUAUUCAAUCUGUGACAUGUCAUUUUUUGUUUUGUUUUUGUAUUUUUGGUACCGGAGAUCGAACUCGAGACCUUGUGCUUGCUAGGCAGGCAGCGGGACCACUGAACUAAAUCCCUGGCCCUGGAUAUUCAAUCUGAUAAUGGUGUUUAGAGGCUGAUGUUUGGGAGGUGAUCAGGACUACAUAAGGUGAUUGAAUCCUGGUAGCUUUAUAAGAAGAGAUAGACAAGAAAACACACACACACACCCUGUCUUUUGCCAUGUGAUGACCAGUACUGCACCUCCCUGAGACUCUUCCUGCAAGAGGGUCAUCACCAGAUGCUGUCCUUCAACCUUGGAUCUCCAGAGCUGCGAACCUAGAAAAUCAACCAAAUAGGAAAAACCUGAAGAAGAAAGGAAGGAGAACAGAAAAUCAAAUCAUUAUCCACACAGAGGACAUAGGGUGCCCAGAGAAAAGCUCUAGAACAUCUGGGAAGUUAAUUUAAAAAUGGAUUGUGGAUUCAGAGCUUGAUAAAGUCUCCUAAGAAGCUGGGAAUGCAUCUCACAAUAGGACUCCGCAUAAAUCCUCAUGAAUUUAAAUUAAUAGUUGAUUGAUAUUCCAUCCUUGUGUAGGA
Non-coding RNA from Heterocephalus glaber (naked mole-rat), 2495 nucleotides. Lineage: Eukaryota; Metazoa; Chordata; Mammalia; Rodentia; Bathyergidae. The record is from RefSeq and is a predicted model, not a curated record.